GACGAACGCUGGCGGCGUGCUUAACACAUGCAAGUCGAACGGAAAGGCCCUGCUUUUGUGGGGUGCUCGAGUGGCGAACGGGUGAGUAACACGUGAGUAACCUGCCCUUGACUUUGGGAUAACUUCAGGAAACUGGGGCUAAUACCGGAUAGGAGCUCCUGCUGCAUGGUGGGGGUUGGAAAGUUUCGGCGGUUGGGGAUGGACUCGCGGCUUAUCAGCUUGUUGGUGGGGUAGUGGCUUACCAAGGCUUUGACGGGUAGCCGGCCUGAGAGGGUGACCGGCCCCAUUGGGACUGGGGUACGGCCCAGACUCCUACGGGGGGCAGCAGUGGGGAAUAUUGCCCAAUGGGCGGAAGCCUGAUGCAGCAACGCCGCGUGCGGGAUGACGGCCUUCGGGUUGUAAACCGCUUUCGCCUGUGACGAAGCGUGAGUGACGGUAAUGGGUAAAGAAGCACCGGCUAACUACGUG
This 468-nucleotide ribosomal RNA is filed under the name uncultured bacterium. RNAcentral's name for it is "partial 16S ribosomal RNA". It matches the Rfam family "Bacterial small subunit ribosomal RNA", at positions 28 to 507 of the family's 1533-position model. The record is from RNAcentral.